GCGCCGGUAGUGUAGCGGUUAUCAUCCUUGCCUUCCAUAUUAGGAAAUGACAGCAAGGGACUCGGGUUCGACUCCCGACCGGCGCA
Molecule: transfer RNA, 86 nt
Filed under: Aspergillus sydowii CBS 593.65
Lineage: Eukaryota; Fungi; Ascomycota; Eurotiomycetes; Eurotiales; Aspergillaceae
Rfam family: tRNA
About the family: Transfer RNA (tRNA) molecules are approximately 80 nucleotides in length. Their secondary structure includes four short double-helical elements and three loops (D, anti-codon, and T loops). Further hydrogen bonds mediate the characteristic L-shaped molecular structure. tRNAs have two regions of fundamental functional importance: the anti-codon, which is responsible for specific mRNA codon recognition, and the 3' end, to which the tRNAs corresponding amino acid is attached (by aminoacyl-tRNA synthetases). tRNAs cope with the degeneracy of the genetic code in two manners: having more than one tRNA (with a specific anti-codon) for a particular amino acid; and 'wobble' base-pairing, i.e. permitting non-standard base-pairing at the 3rd anti-codon position.
Source: Rfam by way of RNAcentral